GGGAGAGCACACAGCAGAGGGGAUUAGAAGCAGAUUGAGCUGACAGACAGUCUCUUUCCCUUGGAAUUUCAGCCUCAUGAAGGCAGGUACUUUGCCUGCCCUAUUCACAGCUGUAUUUCUGUCUCGGAUAGUGUGUGCACGUAACGGGGAAUACUGCUGGAUGUCUGGCUAUUCUUGCAAAAGAUAAUGAAAGGAGAGCAGGCUCUAAGUGCAGGGGAUGCCAUUCCAUGGAUCAUGUUUAUCUUACUUUGCAUCACUGCCACCACAAGUCCUGUGUGGAAUGAUGAAGAAGGAAUAAACCAAGCACCUGUGUCUAAUCUGAGUGGAGUCUUCAAGUUGGAAAGAGAUGAAGAGAUGGCCAGGACCUAGCACCUACAUUUCUGGCUGUUUGUUUGACACUUAUUAACUGGAAGGAAGACAUUCAUCAUUGGACAGGAGGCAAUCCAGUGCUGUGCUUAGAACCCGGAUUCUUGAGUUAGCCUGUAUGAGUUCAAAUCCUAGUUUGUGUCCCAUACAAACUGAGUGCUCUUGGCUAUGAUCGUGCUGCAGAUUCUGUUAACAUUGACCCUGUAACACAUACUCUGCUUUAAUGAGGAGGUGGUGCCAACGUGAUGAACUGACCAUGAGGAGCCCCCUCCAAAGGAGACCACCCAAAGAGAAGCUGAAUUAAAAUCCCUGUAAUACAAACCAUCACUGGUCAGGAAUGAAAAGUACUUAAGAAACAACUGAAAUUUACAAUGAUUUCAGACACACUUGGUCUCCAUCUCUUCCCAAAAAAUAAAUCCAUCUCAUUUCAAGUGA
Molecule: long non-coding RNA, 801 nt
Organism: Eptesicus fuscus (big brown bat)
Lineage: Eukaryota; Metazoa; Chordata; Mammalia; Chiroptera; Vespertilionidae
Exons: 6
Source: RefSeq, a predicted model, not a curated record